CACGUAGGAGACAAGCGUUAUUCGGAUUUACUGGGCGUAAAGCGCGUGCAGGCGGUUUCGCAAGUUGGAUGUGAAAGCUCCCGGCUUAACUGGGAGAGGUCGUUCAAAACUACGGAACUAGAGAGUGGUAGAGGAAGGCGGAAUUCCGGGUGUAGUGGUGAAAUGCGUAGAUAUCCGGAGGAACACCAGUGGCGAAAGCGGCCUUCUGGACCAAUUCUGACGCUCAGACGCGAAAGCUAGGGGAGCGAACGGGAUUAGAGACCCCGGUAGUCCUAGCUGUAAACGAUGUAGACUUGGCGUUGGUGGGGUAAAAUCCAUCAGUGCCGAAGCAAACGCGAUAAGUCUACCGCCUGGGGACUACGGCCGCAAGGUUAAA
Molecule: ribosomal RNA, 376 nt
Filed under: uncultured bacterium
Lineage: Bacteria
Description: bacterial SSU rRNA
Rfam family: Bacterial small subunit ribosomal RNA
Source: RNAcentral